RNAcentral lists this ribosomal RNA (435 nucleotides) under uncultured bacterium. Its description in RNAcentral is "partial 16S ribosomal RNA". It matches the Rfam family "Bacterial small subunit ribosomal RNA", at positions 28 to 507 of the family's 1533-position model. The record is from RNAcentral.
GAUGAACGCUGGCGGUAUGCUUAACACAUGCAAGUCGAACGGACUCUUCGGAGUUAGUGGCGGACGGGUGAGUAACGCGUGGGAAUCUGGCCUUGGGUUCGGGACAACCACUGGAAACGGUGGCUAAUACCGGAUGUGCCGAGAGGUAAAAGAGAAAUUGCCUGAAGAUGAGCUCGCGUCCGAUUAGCUAGUUGGUGAGGUAAAGGCUCACCAAGGCAGCGAUCAGUAGCUGGUCUGAGAGGAUGACCAGCCACACUGGGACUGAGACACGGCCCAGACUCCUACGGGAGGCAGCAGUGAGGAAUUUUCCGCAAUGGGCGAGAGACUGACGGAGCAAUACCGCGUGAGAGAAGAAGGCUCUUGGGUUGUAAAACUCUUUACUUAGGGAAGAACAAAAUGACGGUACCUAAGGAAUCAGCAUCGGCUAACUCCGUG